This is a long non-coding RNA of Hyla sarda, 165 nucleotides long. RefSeq lists it as uncharacterized. The transcript is spliced from 3 exons. Lineage: Eukaryota; Metazoa; Chordata; Amphibia; Anura; Hylidae. The record is from RefSeq and is a predicted model, not a curated record.
GGACUAUGCAUCUUACUUUUGGUCUCCAAUGCAAUCAGCUCUAAACUGUGCAAUAUAUAAUUUCACUGCAUCGCCCCUACAGGUUGAAAGAUAUCAUCCCCACAUUUUAGUGACACUUCAGAGCACUUUCCUGGGACUCCAAGUUCAGAAUUUAUUCCCUAAAGC